GAUGAACGCUGGCGGCGUGCUUAACACAUGCAAGUCGAACGAAGCACCUCUCCCGAAGAUUGACACAGCUUGCUGUAGAUUGAUUCAUUUGAGGUGACUGAGUGGCGGACGGGUGAGUAACGCGUGGGUAACCUGCCUCAUAGAGGGGGACAACAGUUGGAAACGACUGCUAAUACCGCAUAGUAAGAAGAAUUCGCAUGUUUUCUUCUUGAAAGAUUUAUCGCUAUGAGAUGGACCCGCGUCUGAUUAGCUAGUUGGUAAGGUAACGGCUUACCAAGGCGACGAUCAGUAGCCGGCUUGAGAGAGUGAACGGCCACAUUGGGACUGAGACACGGCCCGAACUCCUACGGGAGGCAGCAGUGGGGAAUAUUGCACAAUGGGGGAAACCCUGAUGCAGCGACGCCGCGUGAGUGAAGAAGUAUUUCGGUAUGUAAAGCUCUAUCAGCAGGGAAGAUAAUGACGGUACCUGACUAAGAAGCCCCGGCUAACUACGUG
This 495-nucleotide ribosomal RNA is filed under the name uncultured bacterium. Its description in RNAcentral is "partial 16S ribosomal RNA". It matches the Rfam family "Bacterial small subunit ribosomal RNA", at positions 28 to 507 of the family's 1533-position model. The record is from RNAcentral.